AGAGGAGGAGUCCAUUGAAGGGAAAGAGUUCUGCUGAUCAAGCAGAGAAUUCUAGACCAGUUGAUAGUUUAAAUGCUCGAUUAGUUGAUCAGCAUCGAUGGCCAAGUAGAAUGGGUGGGAAGGUAUCAUCUGGUGCUAUGAAAAGGAGUGUUGAUCUGAGUGAUAAGAAUAGUAAAAUUGCGCCAAUUAGUCGCUCCGUCACGCCUUCCUUGAGGAGAUUAUCAUAUACUAUGAACAGAAGUGUUGAUCUGAGUGAUAAGAAUAGUAAAAUUGCGCCAAUUAGUCGCUCAGUCACGCCUUCCUUGAGGAGAUUAUCAUUGGAUGGUUAUACCAAACCAUUGCAAAAAUCUUCC
This 353-nucleotide long non-coding RNA is filed under the name Nicotiana benthamiana. Its description in RNAcentral is "long non-coding RNA (NBEN_LNC007715)". Lineage: Eukaryota; Viridiplantae; Streptophyta; Magnoliopsida; Solanales; Solanaceae. The record is from RNAcentral.